UUGUUCAACCUCAAAAGUAGCUGGCUCAAAACUUUCUAGACCAUCGGAAACAAUGAAGAGAAAUAUCCCUGUCAUUGAUGAAUCCGUUGCGGAGGACGUAGCGGAAAUUUCUUCCACCGCUAUGACCACAGUGGCCCCAAAUGCACAAAUAACUGCAAAAAGACUACGCCAUGAGCUGGAGAUGGCCAAACAAAACGUGGCAGCAGGAGAUGCUCAAGGAAGUGACCAAGGAGAGAGACUUUCUAAGGGAACAACUGGCUAUGACAAUAAAAUAGGACAAGGGCGUUCCAUCAGAGGACAGCACAAGUCCCUUACAGCAAACCACUUCCGCCGCUUCAGCUACUUUCUCUUCUGAUUCCUCCGACUCGUCAUC
Long non-coding RNA from Clupea harengus (Atlantic herring), 373 nucleotides. RefSeq lists it as uncharacterized. The transcript is spliced from 3 exons. The record is from RefSeq and is a predicted model, not a curated record. Lineage: Eukaryota; Metazoa; Chordata; Actinopteri; Clupeiformes; Clupeidae.